CGAGCGCCAGGUGUUUCCUGGUCGGGGUGAGAUGCAGUUCUCUCACGCGCUAUCCGACAAAACACAGCGCCACCGCCCGCGCCUUAUUCGCAGCGUCCCUUUAGCUGCCGCCGUUGGACCCUCGCCGCCCAGCGCCCCUCCAGCUGCCGCCCCACCCUCUAGCGCGUCUGCCGCUGCACCUACACAGCCGGAUGCAACCCCGCGCUUUUCCCGGCCGGCGACCCCACCCAUCCGAGGUCCUCCUCCCCCUCACGUCGCCCGCGACCCCGUCCUCCUGCUGACCGCCGCUAUCCGUCUCUGGCGCGCCGCCGUGCGGGAACCCGAACCGAUUCGAGGAGCUUCACGCUGGAUCCGCCCAUCCCACGGCUUCCUGUGGAGCUCCGCCGUCUAGACGCCUUGCCGACGCCGGUGAGUCCUGCGCUGCCACCCCUCGUGCCACAGCCGCGAGGCUCGGAUCUCGCCCCGUCUCAACACCAUCCAUUUCAUCUUCGGCGAGGACUGGCCGCUCAUGGAGCUCCGCGUCUUCCAGGAGGUCUUCUCCAGGGCGCCCGCACUGGUGGAGGCUUCUGGGUUCACGGGGAAGCAUUCGGGGUGGUCGUGAUGUUGCUGCUUCCCGGUGCUCACUUCGUACAGAUGUGCCCGGAGGCGAGCCUCAAGGUCUAGCCGCCUCCGCUGUUUCGCGGCGACCACAUGGUCAGGUGCAUGCCGGAGGAGGCCUUGUCAUGGAAGCGUCAGGCGUGUGUGCAUUAUCAAAUCACAGAGGUGAUCCUUUCGAUUUGGAUAUCAACGUGAGUAUUUAGUGCCCAGGAGCAUGGUGCUCACCCGAAUGCUAAUAAAAGAUUUUCAGUGUGCUUUGCGGCUCUCAAUGUCCUACUGCCAAGGCUUUAGGUUAGUUGAUUAUAAUUCCUGCACGGCGGCACAACCAAGAAUUCAAAUCUUGGUUGAAUAUCAUGAUCUUACAUUUUGUAGUGCUUUUUCUUGAGAAAAUUAUCAAAUAGUUGUAGUUGUACACAUAAUAGUUUUUAGUUGUAUAUAAGAUUUGGGAAGUUGCGCAACACGG
This 1060-nucleotide ribosomal RNA is filed under the name Triticum aestivum (bread wheat). RNAcentral's name for it is "partial small subunit ribosomal RNA". Lineage: Eukaryota; Viridiplantae; Streptophyta; Magnoliopsida; Poales; Poaceae. The record is from RNAcentral.